UCAAUUGGUAACACUCAAACUCUGGCGGCAAUUUUUUUGUAUGGCACAAAAAGUGCCCCCACAGUUUGAGAACUACAGGUUGA
This 83-nucleotide microRNA precursor is filed under the name Marmota monax (woodchuck). The record is from RNAcentral. Lineage: Eukaryota; Metazoa; Chordata; Mammalia; Rodentia; Sciuridae.